AGUGAACGCUGGCGGUAGGCCUAACACAUGCAAGUCGAACGGCAGCACAGUAAGAGCUUGCUCUUACGGGUGGCGAGUGGCGGACGGGUGAGGAAUACAUCGGAAUCUACUUUCUCGUGGGGGAUAACGUAGGGAAACUUACGCUAAUACCGCAUACGACCUACGGGUGAAAGCAGGGGAUCUUCGGACCUUGCGCGAUUGAAUGAGCCGAUGUCGGAUUAGCUAGUUGGCGGGGUAAAGGCCCACCAAGGCGACGAUCCGUAGCUGGUCUGAGAGGAUGAUCAGCCACACUGGAACUGAGACACGGUCCAGACUCCUACGGGAGGCAGCAGUGGGGAAUAUUGGACAAUGGGCGCAAGCCUGAUCCAGCCAUACCGCGUGGGUGAAGAAGGCCUUCGGGUUGUAAAGCCCUUUUGUUGGGAAAGAAAAGCAGCAGGUUAAUACCCCGCUGUUCUGACGGUACCCAAAGAAUAAGCACCGGCUAACUUCGCG
Molecule: ribosomal RNA, 492 nt
Filed under: uncultured bacterium
Lineage: Bacteria
Description: partial 16S ribosomal RNA
Rfam family: Bacterial small subunit ribosomal RNA
Source: RNAcentral